This is a non-coding RNA of Hordeum vulgare subsp. vulgare (domesticated barley), 80 nucleotides long. The record is from Rfam. NCBI's taxonomy places the organism in Eukaryota, Viridiplantae, Streptophyta, Magnoliopsida, Poales, Poaceae.
GGGUCCAUAGCUCAGUGGUAGAGCAAUUGACUGCAGAUCAAUAGGGGCGUGUUUGGUUGGGUAGCUCGCACCUGGAUCGC